UACGGAGGGUGCAAGCGUUGUCCGGAUUUAUUGGGUUUAAAGGGUGCGUAGGCGGUCUUUUAAGUCAGUGGUGAAAUCCUCCAGCUCAACUGGAGAACUGCCAUUGAUACUGGAAGACUUGAGUAUAGUUGAGGUAGGCGGAAUUGACAGUGUAGCGGUGAAAUGCAUAGAUAUUGUCAAGAACCCCGAUUGCGAAGGCAGCUUACUAAACUAUAACUGACGCUGAGGCACGAAAGUGUGGGGAUCAAACAGG
This 253-nucleotide ribosomal RNA is filed under the name uncultured bacterium. Its description in RNAcentral is "partial 16S ribosomal RNA". It matches the Rfam family "Bacterial small subunit ribosomal RNA", at positions 524 to 776 of the family's 1533-position model. The record is from RNAcentral.